GGGCAAGUGGCACAGUGGUAGCGCGCCUGCUUCGCAUCUCUCUUGAGAACGAUUGCAUGAGGUCCUGGGUUCAAUCCCCAGCUUGUCCA
Vararia minispora EC-137 is the source of this 89-nucleotide non-coding RNA. The record is from the annotation of a GenBank genome assembly. Lineage: Eukaryota; Fungi; Basidiomycota; Agaricomycetes; Russulales; Lachnocladiaceae.